This is a non-coding RNA of Ailuropoda melanoleuca (giant panda), 321 nucleotides long. The record is from Rfam. Lineage: Eukaryota; Metazoa; Chordata; Mammalia; Carnivora; Ursidae.
GGAUAUGAGGGCAAUUUGGCUGGGACAUCUGUCACCCCAUUGAUUGCUAGGGUUGAUGAGGCUGGUCUGGCUGGCUAGGCGGGUGUUCCCUCCCCGCCCUCCCCGCUCUCACCGAAGCUGCUCGCUGCAUGGAAGAGGACGCCCUUCCUGAUAGAGGAGGGCUGUUCUUCCAGCCAAGGGUAUACGGGUAACUUCAUUCCGCGGCCAGAUCCUCCAAACGAGCUCUCAGGAUCCAUGUGUAGGAGAAUGUCGGAGAGUCAAGCCUCCCAGGCUCCAGACAUAUCUAGAUGAGAUGCUGCAUGUGGCCGUCUGUCUUUAAAA